AACGAACGCUGGCGGCAUGCCUAACACAUGCAAGUCGAACGAGACCUUCGGGUCUAGUGGCGCACGGGUGCGUAACGCGUGGGAACCUGCCCUUAGGUUCGGAAUAACUCCCCGAAAGGGGUGCUAAUACCGGAUAAUGUCUUCGGACCAAAGAUUUAUCGCCUUUGGAUGGGCCCGCGUUGGAUUAGCUAGUUGGGAGGGUAAAAGCCUACCAAAGCGACGAUUCAUAGCUGGUCUGAGAGGAUGAUCAGCCACACUGGGAAUGGGACACGGCCCAGACUCCUACGGGAGGGACGAGGGGGGAAUAAUGGAAAAUGGGCGGAAGCCUGAACCAGCAAUGCCCCGGUAAUUAUGAAGGGCUUAGGGGUGUAAAGCUCUUUUACCCGGGAUGAUAAUGACAGUACCGGGAGAAUAAGCGCCGGCUAACUCCGUG
RNAcentral lists this ribosomal RNA (433 nucleotides) under uncultured bacterium. RNAcentral describes it as "partial 16S ribosomal RNA". It matches the Rfam family "Bacterial small subunit ribosomal RNA", at positions 29 to 507 of the family's 1533-position model. The record is from RNAcentral.